AGUUUGUGCGUGAAUCUAACC
This 21-nucleotide microRNA is filed under the name Citrus sinensis (sweet orange). RNAcentral's name for it is "csi-miR403b-5p". Its record names the gene csi-miR403b-5p. Lineage: Eukaryota; Viridiplantae; Streptophyta; Magnoliopsida; Sapindales; Rutaceae. The record is from miRBase by way of RNAcentral.